CAAGNANUUUACAUGUGCGCAAGUCUAGGGGUAUCUGCAGCCCUUCUCAUAGGCGUAGUGAAAGCGAAUGCCGUGAUCCCGGUUCCUCCGCGUUCCGAGGCGCAACGGCGGCCCGCCCACGCGGCUUUGACCGCGGGGCGGAGCUAGAGCGCACAUGCUGGCACCCGAAAGAUGGUGACCUAUCCCCGGGCAAGACGAGGCCAGAGGAAACUCUGGUGGAGGUCUGAAGCGAUUCUGACGUGCAAAUCGAUCGUCUGACCUGGGAAUAGGGGCGAAAGACUAAUCGAACCAUCUAGUAGCUGGUUCCCUCCGAAGUUUCCCUCAGGAUAGCUGGCGCUCGGGGCGACGCAGUCUCAUGCGGUAAAGCGAAUGAUUAGAGGCCUUGGGGUCGAAACGACCUCAACCUAUUCUCAAACUUUCAAUGUGUGAGACGGCGCGCUUUCUUGUGUGAAGCCGCCACACGAUGCGAGUGCCCAGUGGGCCAUUUUUGGUAAGCAGAACUGGCGAUGUGGGAUGAACCAAACGCCGGGUUAAGGCGCCCGAUGCGAAGACGCUCAUGAGAACCCACGAAGGGUGUUGGUUGCUUAAGACAGCAGGGCGGUGGCCAUGGAAGUCGA
RNAcentral lists this ribosomal RNA (617 nucleotides) under Klinckowstroemiella cf. helleri OSAL003067. Its description in RNAcentral is "eukaryotic LSU rRNA". It matches the Rfam family "Eukaryotic large subunit ribosomal RNA", at positions 667 to 1264 of the family's 3401-position model. Lineage: Eukaryota; Metazoa; Arthropoda; Arachnida; Mesostigmata; Klinckowstroemiidae. The record is from RNAcentral.